UCGGGAAUUUUGGGCAAUGGGCGAAAGCCUGACCCAGCAACGCCGCGUGAAGGAUGAAGUAUUUCGGUAUGUAAACUUCGUAAGAAUAGGAAGAAUAAAUGACGGUACUAUUUGUAAGGUCCGGCUAACUACGUGCCAGCAGCCGCGGUAAUACGUAGGGACCAAGCGUUGUUCGGAUUUACUGGGCGUAAAGGGCGCGUAGGCGGUGUGUCAAGUCAGUUGUGAAAUCUCCGAGCUUAACUCGGAACGGUCAACUGAUACUGUCACACUAGAGUACAGAAGGGGCAAUCGGAAUUCUUGGUGUAGCGGUGAAAUGCGUAGAUAUCAAGAGGAACACCUGAGGCGAAGGCGGGUUGCUGGGCUGAUACUGACGCUGAGGCGCGAAAGCUAGGGGAGCAAACGGGAUUAGAUACCCGUGUAGUCCCUGAGCGGGCUGGCAAGGCGCAU
Molecule: ribosomal RNA, 447 nt
Filed under: uncultured bacterium
Lineage: Bacteria
Description: bacterial SSU rRNA
Rfam family: Bacterial small subunit ribosomal RNA
Source: RNAcentral